CAGAGGGUGCAUGCCCGAUUUUGUUCAAUUCAGGUUAAUGAUGGUUGAAGGUAACACGAACCAUUUGGGCCCUAAGCCCAGACGCGGUCCGACCCUAACUUGCCAAGGAACAAAAGAGUUGACAUGCGGCAAGAUUUAUUUAGAUUCCGAUCAGAUCUUCUCCGUCUCCAGCGUCCAUGUUGUAGCUCAUAGCGUCUCUAGCCUACAUUCACCACUCAGCAUCACCCGGGUGUUCUACCUUCGGAUUAUGCCUCGCAUUCUUUUCAACAAAUGGCGUUUUCCGCCAUCGUGUUUAUUCGUUGCCACGUUUACUCGUCGCUGUCGUGGCUCAUGAAUUCCACCACUCAUUGAGUCCAUUCACUCUAUUAUGUAUGCUAACAGAAGAAAACAAAACGUGUUGAGUCGAAAACUAACCCGGAUCGAACUUUCUCUUGAUUCUUUUUCUUUUGCCUUUUUGAUCUCCUUCUUCUUCUUCUUCACAUUGUUGUCAUGUAUUUGUGACCGUGAGCGCCGAGUUGUUGAGUAUUGUUGAGCGGUGUGAGGUGUGGAUUAAGGUAGAGCUCAACUGUUAAAGCUUCUAAUGUUGAAGCUCUACAGUUAUGGUGAUGAGCGUGUGGUGAGGGUGAGAGAUAGAGAUUCGAAGAUGAUUUUAGAGGAUUGAAGGUGCUAAUUAUCAAGGCCUAAAAAUGAUGAAGGAGAUGAUGAUUUAUAGUGCUUAGGCUUGGGAUUAGGAUAGGUUUGGAUUCAGGUCUGGAAUUAGUUAGGAGUUGGUUUGGAGUUAGUUAUUUUCCACUCACUGAGUUGAAUCCCUAACCCAGUUAGUUAGUAACAAAUGAAUUAGUUAGUUGAACCAUGAUAAAAUCCAAUGGUUGUGGAGUGUAAGUUAGGUUAGCUUUAGGAUUUUGGUUAGUGCAGUCCAUAAAGGGUGAAUGGUAUGUUGGUUGUUAAUGUUAAGUGAAGUUUUUGUUAAAUGGAGUGAAUGAUGAGUUAAUUGAAAUGUCUUAUAUGUGGAAUGUCUUCUGCAGGAUGGGUUUUGUUGAUGGAUAGGUUGAUAUGAUGUUUGACGCAGGUUCUACAGCUUCACCAUUGGUUUAUGGAGCGACUUUGCAGCUGGCGUGGCUUACGUGUUACCGUCGGUUAGGUUCCGCUGCCGUUCUGUAUGCAGCUGGUUCUGGAAAUUUUUAACAUUCUCUUUGGAUAAUACUGUUGGCACUAUGGAGACCAACUGAAGCAUAUUAAAUGAGAAGCGCUUGGCUAUUUCUGGAUGAAUAAAAGCAACCGGAGUAAGCCCAUCAUUUAGUUCUUGUCAAUGAAGCAACAUCUUUGCAGUAUGCUCUUUACUAUUGGAACCGACAUGUGAAUCGCCUGGCGAAUCUGAAUUUCUUUUGCGUGUCUUUGGAGUAACAUUAGCCUCAGCUCUUAGCAUGAGUUGUACCACCGCAUUCUUGGGAAAGACAGAAGCAACAUAGAAUGUGAUAACAGUGUGACCAUUCAAACACAAAUGGAAACCUUAUCCCUUCAUGAAAAAUCCUAACUUGAUUGAGAAUUUGAGCUUCAGCUUGUUCAGAAUUGAGUUCCAGAAUUUUCCAAUCAUCCUCAGUAUCUGGCUCUAUCGAGACGGAAGAAGCGUGAGGGACGUUAGAAGUGACUAUAACUCAAACCGGAGAAUGAAUCGGCAAGGAAAUGCAAUCGGAAAAAUGUUGAGAAACAUAAAUUGACGAAGGAUAAGAGGAAGUGGCUCCGGACCAGGCGACAAACCAGGAGUGAGGAUAGUGAGUAGAAGAACGAAGUUCGAGAGCGAUAAUUGGAGGGAGUGAAGAUGAAGACGUGGAUUAAGGAGUUUGGAUUGAAAAUAGAAUGAAGUUGAGUGAUUAUUUGGUGUAUGAAAUAAGUCUGCGAAUUCAGGGCAUUACUAGGCUGCAAUAGAAGGUCAUGGUGCCAUGGUUUGAUGCAAGUAGAGCAAGGAAACUUUUUAGGACAAGGUUCAUGCGUACAAGUUGGUGCGACGAUGUGUCUUGCUGCAAGAUGUAUUCAUGUCAUUGGUUUUCUCAUGCCAUGUGUAGCAGUAAAUUCAUGAUCAUCAAGCUAUGGAUAAGCUAGAGAUCAAAUAACAAGAGUCGCCACCGCGCUUUUAUUAUUUCCAAGGGAAAAGGGAAAAAUUAAGAACAAGAUCCAAAAGUAAGAAGUUUUCAAAUCAAAACUAAUAAAAUGUCAGAGAUUACAGGUAAGGGGGUUGGUUACACAUAGGGAAGGUGUUAGCACCAAAAGUAUCCUAGGUACUCCUAGGACACCUUUUUUGUGUGCAUAUUUAUUUGGUACAAAAAUGAUGUUUACAAACAAAUAGAGUGGGUGGAUGAGAAAAGAAUUUAUUAAUUAUAUUUUUGUGUUUGACAAGA
Lathyrus oleraceus (garden pea) is the source of this 2396-nucleotide long non-coding RNA. RefSeq lists it as uncharacterized. The transcript has 2 exons. The record is from RefSeq and is a predicted model, not a curated record. Lineage: Eukaryota; Viridiplantae; Streptophyta; Magnoliopsida; Fabales; Fabaceae.